Molecule: ribosomal RNA, 1343 nt
Filed under: uncultured bacterium
Lineage: Bacteria
Description: 16S ribosomal RNA
Rfam family: Bacterial small subunit ribosomal RNA
Source: RNAcentral
GACGAACGCUGGCGGCGUGCUUAACACAUGCAAGUCGAACGGAAAGGCCCUGCUUUUGUGGGGUGCUCGAGUGGCGAACGGGUGAGUAACACGUGAGUAACCUGCCCUUGACUUUGGGAUAACUUCAGGAAACUGGGGCUAAUACCGGAUAGGAGCUCCUGCUGCAUGGUGGGGGUUGGAAAGUUUCGGCGGUUGGGGAUGGACUCGCGGCUUAUCAGCUUGUUGGUGGGGUAGUGGCUUACCAAGGCUUUGACGGGUAGCCGGCCUGAGAGGGUGACCGGCCACAUUGGGACUGAGAUACGGCCCAGACUCCUACGGGAGGCAGCAGUGGGGAAUAUUGCACAAUGGGCGGAAGCCUGAUGCAGCAACGCCGCGUGCGGGAUGACGGCCUUCGGGUUGUAAACCGCUUUCGCCUGUGACGAAGCGUGAGUGACGGUAAUGGGUAAAGAAGCACCGGCUAACUACGUGCCAGCAGCCGCGGUGAUACGUAGGGUGCGAGCGUUGUCCGGAUUUAUUGGGCGUAAAGGGCUCGUAGGUGGUUGAUCGCGUCGGAAGUGUAAUCUUGGGGCUUAACCCUGAGCGUGCUUUCGAUACGGGUUGACUUGAGGAAGGUAGGGGAGAAUGGAAUUCCUGGUGGAGCGGUGGAAUGCGCAGAUAUCAGGAGGAACACCAGUGGCGAAGGCGGUUCUCUGGGCCUUUCCUGACGCUGAGGAGCGAAAGCGUGGGGAGCGAACAGGCUUAGAUACCCUGGUAGUCCACGCUGUAAACGGUGGGUACUAGGUGUGGGGUCCAUUCCACGGGUUCCGUGCCGUAGCUAACGCUUUAAGUACCCCGCCUGGGGAGUACGGCCGCAAGGCUAAAACUCAAAGGAAUUGACGGGGCCCCGCACAAGCGGCGGAGCAUGCGGAUUAAUUCGAUGCAACGCGUAGAACCUUACCCGGGUUUGACAUGGAUCGGGAGUGCUCAGAGAUGGGUGUGCCUCUUUUGGGGUCGGUUCACAGGUGGUGCAUGGCUGUCGUCAGCUCGUGUCGUGAGAUGUUGGGUUAAGUCCCGCAACGAGCGCAACCCUUGUUCACUGUUGCCAGCACGUUAUGGUGGGGACUCAGUGGAGACCGCCGGGGUCAACUCGGAGGAAGGUGGGGAUGACGUCAAGUCAUCAUGCCCCUUAUGUCCAGGGCUUCACGCAUGCUACAAUGGCUGGUACAGAGAGUGGCGAGCCUGUGAGGGUGAGCGAAUCUCGGAAAGCCGGUCUCAGUUCGGAUUGGGGUCUGCAACUCGACCUCAUGAAGUCGGAGUCGCUAGUAAUCGCAGAUCAGCAACGCUGCGGUGAAUACGUUCCCGGG